Long non-coding RNA from Clupea harengus (Atlantic herring), 1351 nucleotides. NCBI's taxonomy places the organism in Eukaryota, Metazoa, Chordata, Actinopteri, Clupeiformes, Clupeidae. The record is from Ensembl.
UUUUUCCCAUGUCUCACCAUCCACCACUCCGCUGGGACUGAUCUUCCUCAGACCUGGAUAGUCCUAGCUCAGGUGUGCUGCUGUCUGACAUUCCAACCAAAAGCAUUCAAAAUACACCUGGGGAAGGUCCUCCAUCGAGCACUGUUACAUGGGUGGGGCAGGGAAAUUCCCCACAGUUAAAUAUCUGCCCCCACCCCCCAACACCACCACCACCAGCCUAGCAUUGGCACGCAUGUUGUCUGUAUCGCCACCCACCUCUCAUCGUAUCCCACUCUGCUGAAACUGAUCUUCAUGGCACUUGGAUAGUCCUGCCUCAGGUGUGCUCUGUCUCUGAUGCUACACCCAGCCCUCUCCCCGUGUCAGCUCCCCACCUCCAGAGGAUAGCAGCGUUCACACCUGGGUCGGCUCUGGCCCCGCACAACACCUCCCCCAAUCCCUUCCCCUGAGCACAGUCGCCUCGGUCUUCACCUUAAUCCCCAUUUUAGCAAAACAUCUCAAUCCAGCACUGUUCGUUAGCAACACAGAAACCCAUGAAAGAUGGACGGAUACAUAGAUGGGUGGAUGCAGAGAGAGAGAGGGAGAGAGAGAGAGAGAGACUAAGAGUGAAUGAGAGAAAGAGAGAGAAAUGGGAAGCCUUUCAGUUAUAUUACUGUAACAAUGAAACCUAGUCAACCAGACGGAGGACUGUACAGGUGACACUAUGAACUGUAUUCAAAAAGAGAGCUCAGCUUCCCCUCCCCUGGUGGAAACGGAUUCUGAAAAGGAUUAGGUCCUGAUCUGGCCCGGACCUCCAGACGGCCAGAACGUGGUGUUAAGGCGCUGGAGCCAGCCAGCCCGUCAUCAUUACAACUCUUUCAUCCCUUUGUUUUGUCCCUGCGGCAUACUGCGGCCAGCGUGAUUAAUUAAAAUCACACAGCUCUCUUGAUCUGCCCAGAGAUAAACAUUUGUUUUGUUAAAAGCCCUUCGGGAAGUCCUAUGAGAAUUUUUUCUUUUUUUUUUAUUCAUUUAACUUCAUGAUCAUCUUGAUAGUCAUUGCCAUUUUCACCCUUGUGUUUUGAGAGGUCCUUGAGCAAUUCCUCUGGUAGUGGUUAACUCAGACUACUUCACCUCUCCUCUGAGUCUCUGUGAAUAAACCACUCUGAAAAACGAAUCACAAAUGCAAAUGCUAGCUGAUGCUGUUACCAUGGUGGCUGAUAUUAAUACUCAGUUAACGAAAUGCUGCCCAGACCGAACAAAGAACAUCUGCCUAGGGACUCAUAGAAGAAGAAAAUAUUUGCAUGAGGUAAUGAAGAAAAAUAAUACAACCUGUGCCAAUGCUUAUUAACUUCUGCUUAAAUGUCCUUCAAUUACC